Molecule: ribosomal RNA, 468 nt
Filed under: uncultured bacterium
Lineage: Bacteria
Description: partial 16S ribosomal RNA
Rfam family: Bacterial small subunit ribosomal RNA
Source: RNAcentral
GACGAACGCUGUCGGCGUGCUUAACACAUGCAAGUCGAACGGAAAGGCCCUGCUUUUGUGGGGUGCUCGAGUGGCGAACGGGUGAGUAACACGUGAGUAACCUGCCAUUGACUUUGGGAUAACUUCAGGAAACUGGGGCUAAUACCGGAUAGGAGCUCCUGCUGCAUGGUGGGGGUUGGAAAGUUUCGGCGGUUGGGGAUGGACUCGCGGCUUAUCAGCUUGUUGGUGGGGUAGUGGCUUACCAAGGCUUUGACGGGUAGCCGGCCUGAGAGGGUGACCGGCCACAUUGGGACUGAGAUACGACCCAGACCCCUCCGGGAGGCAGCAGUGGGGAAUAUUGCACAAUGGGCGGAAGCCUGAUGCAGCAACGCCGCGUGCGGGAUGACGGCCUUCGGGUUGUAAACCGCUUUCGCCUGUGACGAAGCGUGAGUGACGGUAAUGGGUAAAGAAGCACCGGCUAACUACGUG